This 220-nucleotide ribosomal RNA is filed under the name Clostridioides difficile. RNAcentral describes it as "partial 16S ribosomal RNA". It matches the Rfam family "Bacterial small subunit ribosomal RNA", at positions 483 to 703 of the family's 1533-position model. The record is from RNAcentral. Lineage: Bacteria; Bacillati; Bacillota; Clostridia; Peptostreptococcales; Peptostreptococcaceae.
GGAGGAAGCCCCGGCUAACUACGUGCCAGCAGCCGCGGUAAUACGUAGGGGGCUAGCGUUAUCCGGAUUUACUGGGCGUAAAGGGUGCGUAGGCGGUCUUUCAAGUCAGGAGUGAAAGGCUACGGCGCAACCUUAGUAAGCUCUUGAAACUGGGAGACUUGAGUGCAGGAGAGGAGAGUGGAAUUCCUAGUGUAGCGGUGUAAUGCGUAGAUAUUAGGAG